This 375-nucleotide ribosomal RNA is filed under the name uncultured bacterium. RNAcentral's name for it is "bacterial SSU rRNA". It matches the Rfam family "Bacterial small subunit ribosomal RNA", at positions 521 to 896 of the family's 1533-position model. The record is from RNAcentral.
UAAUACAGAGGGUGCGAGCGUUAAUCGGAGUUACUGGGCGUAAAGGGCGCGUAGGCGGUCGGAUGAGUGUGAUGUGAAAGCCCCGGGCUUAACCUGGGAAGUGCAUCGCAAACGAUUUGACUGGAGUAGAUGAGAGGGUGGUGGAAUUUCCGGUGUAGCGGUGAAAUGCGUAGAGAUCGGAAGGAACGUCAAUGGCGAAGGCAGCCACCUGGCAUCAUACUGACGCUGAGGCGCGAAAGCGUGGGGAUCGAACAGGAUUAGAUACCCUGGUAGUCCACGCUGUAAACGAUGAGAACUAAAUGUUGGUGGGGGAACCCAUCAGUAUUGAAGCUAACGCGAUAAGUUCUCCGCCUGGGAAGUACGGCCGCAAGGUUG